This 399-nucleotide RNase P RNA is filed under the name bovine gut metagenome. RNAcentral's name for it is "Bacterial RNase P class A". It matches the Rfam family "Bacterial RNase P class A". Rfam says of the family: Ribonuclease P (RNase P) is a ubiquitous endoribonuclease, found in archaea, bacteria and eukarya as well as chloroplasts and mitochondria. Its best characterised activity is the generation of mature 5'-ends of tRNAs by cleaving the 5'-leader elements of precursor-tRNAs. The record is from RNAcentral.
GGCAGCCGGAUAGCUGCGUCAUGGCAAGUAAGAGCCGAUGAUGAGGAAAGUCCGGGCUUCACGGAAACAAGAUACCGGAUAACGUCCGGCUGGAGAAAUCCAAGGGAUAGUGCCGCAGAAAAUUACCGCCGCGAUUUAAUUGCGGUAAGGUUGAAAAGGCGAGGUAAGAGCUCACCGCAUGAGCAGUAAUGUUUAUGGCAAGGUAAACCCUAUCUGAUGUAAGACCAAAUUAGGGGGCGUUUGUAAGUUUUUUACGGGCGCAAGGGGUGUUUCCGACCCGCCCCAGAGGUAGGUCGCACCAGCCAAGCGGUAACGUUUGGCGCAGAUGAAUAGCUAUCGCACAUAUCUUUGCUUUUUAGUAAAGCUAUUUGUGUACAGAACCCGGCUUAUAGGCUGCCU